AUGGUCAAGUCUAAGCAGGAUGUUUUGAAGCAUUUCGGUAGUUGGUCAAGUCUACUUGUUGCAACUUGCUGCUCUUAGUGAAUCCACCUAGAUAAAGGCUCUUAAGCUUCCUCUGCCUUUUGUGAUUGUGGGUUGCUUUUCUUUUAUAUGAUAGUAGGACCAAAACUCAAGGGGAACCUCGCCGAUGGCUCUUACAUGCUGCCUUUACUUUUGAAAGUCCUAUGAUUCCUUGCUGAAUAAGAUCCUGCUUCAGUUAGAUAGUAACAUCUAGGACGCAUUCUCUUUUGCUCUGUGCCUCAAAUGGUCAAGGGCUGAGAUUCCCAUUGUGGUGAUCUCAGUUUCAAUGAUCAACUGGUAUCUGCAAUGGCUCUUUCUUACAGAUUGAAUUACACAGCAUGUACUUCUGAAAACUUUGUUGAAUCAAAGCCUGUUUCAAUUGGAGGACAUGUUCAGGAUGGCGUGCUACAGGCACACUUUUUUUUCUUCUUAGUGUCUAAAACCUGAUAAAACCGUUGCAGGAGCUUGUGCACUAUAUCAGCCAGCCUUUCCAGUCAUGAUAUCAGGGAUUACAAAUUAUCAUGCUAUGUUACUGUGAAUUUUCUCAUCUUUUCCAGACUUGUAAUCUUUGAAAUUAGCUCUACCUUUUUUUUCUGGCAACUAGCUGACACUUAAUCGCAGAAAGUUGUAUUAUAAUUGCUCUUAUCUUUGUCAGCUGACCUCUACAAACUGCUCGCCAAAAUUUCCUUCCCCAACUUAUGUAAUAUCUCUCAAAAAACCAUCAUCACUGUGAAUUUCUGGUGAUCAUCAUGGGGAGUUCGGUUGGCAAUAGAGCUUGUAUUGGCGAAACAGAUUGACCAUGAGAAGCUGACAAAUUUUCAGGUUGUCCCUCAGGUUAGCAAUUUUGUUUUAAAUGGAUAAAUAGA
This is a non-coding RNA of Coffea arabica (coffee), 923 nucleotides long. Lineage: Eukaryota; Viridiplantae; Streptophyta; Magnoliopsida; Gentianales; Rubiaceae. The record is from RefSeq and is a predicted model, not a curated record.